RNAcentral lists this ribosomal RNA (253 nucleotides) under uncultured bacterium. RNAcentral describes it as "partial 16S ribosomal RNA". It matches the Rfam family "Bacterial small subunit ribosomal RNA", at positions 524 to 776 of the family's 1533-position model. The record is from RNAcentral.
UACGUAGGGUGCAAGCGUUGUCCGGAAUUAUUGGGCGUAAAGGGCUCGUAGGCGGUCCAUCACGUCGGGAGUGAAAAGCUGGGGCUUAACCCCAGUCCUGCUUCCGAUACGGGUGGACUAGAGGUAGGUAGGGGAGAACGGAAUUCCUGGUGUAGCGGUGAAAUGCGUAGAUAUCUGGAGGAAUACCGGUGGCGAAGGCGGCAUCCUGGACCGACAUUGACGCUGAGGAGCGAAAGCUAGGGGAGCAAACGGG